Molecule: ribosomal RNA, 596 nt
Filed under: Kitasatospora indigofera
Lineage: Bacteria; Bacillati; Actinomycetota; Actinomycetes; Kitasatosporales; Streptomycetaceae
Description: bacterial SSU rRNA
Rfam family: Bacterial small subunit ribosomal RNA
Source: RNAcentral
GGGAAGAAGCGCAAGUGACGGUACCUGCAGAAGAAGCACCGGCUAACUACGUGCCAGCAGCCGCGGUAAUACGUAGGGUGCGAGCGUUGUCCGGAAUUAUUGGGCGUAAAGAGCUCGUAGGCGGCUUGUCGCGUCGGAUGUGAAAGCCCGGGGCUUAACCCCGGGUCUGCAUUCGAUACGGGCAGGCUAGAGUGUGGUAGGGGAGAUCGGAAUUCCUGGUGUAGCGGUGAAAUGCGCAGAUAUCAGGAGGAACACCGGUGGCGAAGGCGGAUCUCUGGGCCAUUACUGACGCUGAGGAGCGAAAGCGUGGGGAGCGAACAGGAUUAGAUACCCUGGUAGUCCACGCCGUAAACGUUGGGAACUAGGUGUUGGCGACAUUCCACGUCGUCGGUGCCGCAGCUAACGCAUUAAGUUCCCCGCCUGGGGAGUACGGCCGCAAGGCUAAAACUCAAAGGAAUUGACGGGGGCCCGCACAAGCAGCGGAGCAUGUGGCUUAAUUCGACGCAACGCGAAGAACCUUACCAAGGCUUGACAUAUACCGGAAACGGCCAGAGAUGGUCGCCCCCUUGUGGUCGGUAUACAGGUGGUGCAUGGCU